CCUACGGGUGGCAGCAGUGAGGAAUAUUGGUCAAUGGACGCAAGUCUGAACCAGCCAUGCCGCGUGAAUGACGAAGGCCUUCGGGUCGUAAAGUUCUUUCGACAGGGAAGAAAAUGCCUAUAAGUAACUGUGUAUGUAUUGACGGUACCUGUAUAAGCAGCCCCGGCUAACUCCGUGCCAGCAGCCGCGGUAAUACGGAGGGGGCGAGCGUUGUUCGGAGUGACUGGGCGUAAAGAGCACGUAGGCGGUGUUGUAAGUCAUUAGUCAAAGACUAGAGCUCAACUUUAGUAAGGCUAGUGAUACUAUAAUACUAGAGUAUCAGAGAGGAUUGCAGAAUUCCUGGUGUAGCGGUGAAAUGCGUAGAUAUCAGGAGGAAUACCGUUAGCGAAGGCGGCAAUCUGGCUGGAAACUGACGCUGAGGUGCGAAAGCGUGGGUAGCAAACAGGAUUAGAUACCCCUGUAGUC
This 465-nucleotide ribosomal RNA is filed under the name uncultured bacterium. Its description in RNAcentral is "partial 16S ribosomal RNA". It matches the Rfam family "Bacterial small subunit ribosomal RNA", at positions 338 to 795 of the family's 1533-position model. The record is from RNAcentral.